RNAcentral lists this ribosomal RNA (253 nucleotides) under uncultured bacterium. RNAcentral describes it as "partial 16S ribosomal RNA". It matches the Rfam family "Bacterial small subunit ribosomal RNA", at positions 524 to 776 of the family's 1533-position model. The record is from RNAcentral.
GACAGAGGAUGCAAGCGUUAUCCGGAAUGAUUGGGCGUAAAGCGUCUGUAGGUGGUUUGACAAGUCUUUUGUCAAAGAUCAGGGCUUAACCCUGGGCCGGCAAGAGAAACUAUCAGACUAGAGUUCGGUAGGGGCAGAGGGAAUUCCCGGUGUAGUGGUGGAAUGCGUAGAGAUCGGGAGGAACACCAGUGGCGAAAGCGACCUUCUGGGCUGCACCUGACACUCUAGUGCGAAAGCGUGGGGAGCAAACAGG